This 626-nucleotide ribosomal RNA is filed under the name uncultured bacterium. RNAcentral's name for it is "bacterial SSU rRNA". It matches the Rfam family "Bacterial small subunit ribosomal RNA", at positions 876 to 1503 of the family's 1533-position model. The record is from RNAcentral.
GGGAGUACGACCGCAAGGUUGAAACUCAAAGGAAUUGACGGGGGCCCGCACAAGCGGUGGAGCAUGUGGUUUAAUUUGAAGCAACGCGAAGAACCUUACCAGGUCUUGACAUCUUUUGCCAAUCCUAGAGAUAGGACUUUCCCUUCGGGGACAAAAUGACAGGUGGUGCAUGGUUGUCGUCAGCUCGUGUCGUGAGAUGUUGGGUUAAGUCCCGCAACGAGCGCAACCCUUAUUGUUAGUUGCCAGCAUUAAGUUGGGCACUCUAGCAAGACUGCCGGUGACAAACCGGAGGAAGGUGGGGAUGACGUCAAAUCAUCAUGCCCCUUAUGACCUGGGCUACACACGUGCUACAAUGGACGGUACAACGAGUCGCAAGACCGCGAGGUUUAGCAAAUCUCUUAAAGCCGUUCUCAGUUCGGAUUGUAGGCUGCAACUCGCCUACAUGAAGUCGGAAUCGCUAGUAAUCGCGGAUCAGCAUGCCGCGGUGAAUACGUUCCCGGGCCUUGUACACACCGCCCGUCACACCAUGAGAGUUUGUAACACCCAAAGCCGGUGGGGUAACCUUUUGGAGCCAGCCGUCUAAGGUGGGACAGAUGAUUAGGGUGAAGUCGUAACAAGGUAGCCGU